This 72-nucleotide transfer RNA is filed under the name Ovis aries (sheep). It matches the Rfam family "tRNA". Rfam says of the family: Transfer RNA (tRNA) molecules are approximately 80 nucleotides in length. Their secondary structure includes four short double-helical elements and three loops (D, anti-codon, and T loops). The record is from Rfam by way of RNAcentral. Lineage: Eukaryota; Metazoa; Chordata; Mammalia; Artiodactyla; Bovidae.
UCCCUGGUGGUCCAGUGGUUAAGAAUCUGCCUUCCAAUGCAGGGGACGUAGGUUCAAUCCCUGGCCAGGGAA